UACAGAGGUCUCAAGCGUUGUCCGGAUUCAUUGGGCGUAAAGGGUGCGUAGGCGGCCCGGUAAGUCGGCUGUGAAAUCUCGGAGCUUAACUCCGAAACUGCAUUCGAUACUGCCGUGCUUGAGGACUGGAGAGGAGACUGGAAUUUACGGUGUAGCGGUGAAAUGCGUAGAUAUCGUAAGGAAGACCAGUGGCGAAGGCGGGUCUCUGGACAGUUCCUGACGCUGAGGCACGAAGGUCAGGGGAGCAAACGGG
This 253-nucleotide ribosomal RNA is filed under the name uncultured bacterium. RNAcentral describes it as "partial 16S ribosomal RNA". It matches the Rfam family "Bacterial small subunit ribosomal RNA", at positions 524 to 776 of the family's 1533-position model. The record is from RNAcentral.